UCCGGAGUGGCGCAAUGGCUUAGCGCAUUGGACUUUUAUGAGAUACCAUGGUAAAUCCAGGGGUUGGGGGUUCGAGUCCCCCCUUCGGAG
This is a non-coding RNA of Pestalotiopsis sp. NC0098, 90 nucleotides long. The record is from the annotation of a GenBank genome assembly. Lineage: Eukaryota; Fungi; Ascomycota; Sordariomycetes; Amphisphaeriales; Sporocadaceae.